CUGCUGUGUCCCAGCUCACCCUCAAUGUGCUGUCCCUGGCAGCUGGCUCAUCGCCAUCCUGGCCCAGCUGAACCCUCUGUUUGGGCCACAGCUGAAGAAUGAGACCAUCUGGUAUGUGCGCUUCCUGUGGGAGUGACCGCUGCUGCUUCAGCCCAGGUACCCCAGCUCUCCGGAUAACCUUGGCUCAACUGUCCCUGAAGACCCCUUUGUUCCACCCCCACAGCUGUGUCGUGAUCCCUCUGUGUUGAAGUAAUGGAAAAUCAUUCACACCCAAAACACCAUAGUAAUUUGGGUCCAGAUUGAAA
Long non-coding RNA from Myotis brandtii (Brandt's bat), 305 nucleotides. RefSeq lists it as uncharacterized. Lineage: Eukaryota; Metazoa; Chordata; Mammalia; Chiroptera; Vespertilionidae. The transcript has 2 exons. The record is from RefSeq and is a predicted model, not a curated record.